RNAcentral lists this ribosomal RNA (322 nucleotides) under Phenylobacterium sp. RNAcentral describes it as "partial 23S ribosomal RNA". It matches the Rfam family "Bacterial large subunit ribosomal RNA", at positions 1 to 272 of the family's 2925-position model. The record is from RNAcentral. Lineage: Bacteria; Pseudomonadati; Pseudomonadota; Alphaproteobacteria; Caulobacterales; Caulobacteraceae.
GAUCAAGCGCAUAAGGGCUUCUGAUGGAUGCCUUGGCGUCGAGAGGCGAUGAAAGACGUGGCACGCUGCGAUAAGGUCCGGGGAGGCGCGAGCACCCUUUGAUCCGGACAUUUCUGAAUGGGGAAACCCACCUUUACAGUCUGCGAAUUUGAUCUUCGGCUUCGGCCGGAGCUCAUGUUCGUAGGUUGUUCAAAGGUAUAAUGACCUGAAUAAAAUAGGGUUCAUUAAGCAAACCCGGGGAACUGAAACAUCUCAGUACCCGGAGGAAAGGACAUCAACCGAGACUCCCGUAGUAGUGGCGAGCGAACCGGGACCAGGCCAG